UACGGGGGGGGCAAGCGUUGUUCGGAAUUACUGGGCGUAAAGGGCUCGUAGGUGGCCAACUAAGUCAGACGUGAAAUCCCUCGGCUUAACCGGGGAACUGCGUCUGAUACUGGAUGGCUUGAGAUUGGGAGAGGGAUGCGGAAUUCCAGGUGUAGCGGUGAAAUGCGUAGAUAUCUGGAGGAACACCGGUGGCGAAGGCGGCAUCCUGGACCAACACUGACACUGAGGAGCGAAAGCCAGGGGAGCAAACGGG
RNAcentral lists this ribosomal RNA (253 nucleotides) under uncultured bacterium. RNAcentral's name for it is "partial 16S ribosomal RNA". It matches the Rfam family "Bacterial small subunit ribosomal RNA", at positions 524 to 776 of the family's 1533-position model. The record is from RNAcentral.